This is a non-coding RNA of Brassica rapa (field mustard), 108 nucleotides long. The record is from RefSeq and is marked provisional. Lineage: Eukaryota; Viridiplantae; Streptophyta; Magnoliopsida; Brassicales; Brassicaceae.
AUUGAUUACAUACUCGGUAAAAGCCUUCAAAAUAUGAGUUAAUAUUUUGAGUACCACUCCCCAAAAGCCACAACAUAACUCAUGUUUUGUGGGUUUCUACCGAGUAUG